This is a non-coding RNA of Nicotiana tabacum (common tobacco), 2200 nucleotides long. The record is from RefSeq and is a predicted model, not a curated record. Lineage: Eukaryota; Viridiplantae; Streptophyta; Magnoliopsida; Solanales; Solanaceae.
UCUCUCUCUCUUCUCUCUUCUCUCUAUCUCUUUCUUCUUCUAACAUUGACCUAUUUGGGAGGACCAAAGUCAGCUUCAAUUUUGUUUCACAAGAUUUUGCUUAGUCGGAAGAUUUUUGAAAUCCCAGUGGGCAAACUAAAAGACUAAACUGUUCUCAGUUCUUUAAUCAGAUAGAGAUGUCAAUGGAAGAUAUUGCUGAUUCUUGUGAACAAAGCUCCUCAACUACACUAAAAUGAUCAAAACAACAAAUUUUCACUGUUCGGGAUUCUUUUGUUAAGGUAACAUAGACGGUAAUUUCUAGUGAUGGAAAGAUUAAAGUCCAAUGUACGCUUUAUGAAAAAGACUACAUAUAUGAUCCUAAAUUUGGAAUGUCAAAUUUGAAGCGCCAUUUGUUGAUAAAACAUCCAUUGAAUAAUACAAAAGAGGGUCACAGUGAACCAAUAGAUCAGAAAGUUUAUCGAGAGAAAAUAUCAUUAGCCAUAGUCAAGCAUAACUAUGCUUUCAGUUUUGUAGAACAUAAAGGCAUCAGAGACCUUCAUUCGUAUUUAAAUCUAGUAGCGAAGCAUAUAUCAAAAAACAAGGAGAAGUCAUAUAUUUUGAAUAUGUAUACAAGCGAAAAAGACAUUUUUAAAAACGAGCUUGAUGCUAUUCCUAGUAGAUUGUGUUUGACAUUAGAUAUGUGAACUUUACUAGCAUCUAAUGGCUUUAUGUGUGUAACGGCUCAGUAUGUGAAUUUAAAUUUGGUUCUUCAGAAGAGGGUGUUGAUUUUUCGUCAUGUUCCUCCUCCACAUUCGGGUGCGAUUUUAGGUACCUUGUUGAUUAAAUUUCUUAAAGAAUGGGGGAUCGAAAAGAAAAUCUUUACCAUUACAUUAGAUAAUGCUACUUGCAAUUACAAUGUAGUGAAUAGUUUAAAGAAUCAUUUGUCUUCGAUGAGUUCACUAAUUUGUGACGGAAAGUUUCUUCAUGUCCGUUGUGGGAAUGACAUUUUGAAAUUAAUUGUUAAGACGAACUUAGAGAAGGCUGAUGCAGCUAUUACGAAAACUAGAGAAGAUGUUAAGCAUAUCAAGAAUUCAGAAACAAGAAUAAUGAAAUUUGUGGAGUGUCUAAGUAAUCUUGGUCUAUCAUGUUCUAAGAAGCUACGCCAAGAUAUGCCUAUUCGAUGGAACUCCACCUACCAAAUACUUGAAAGUGCUCUUCUUUAUCGGCAAGCUUAUAUUCACUAUAACUUGAUUGGUUGAUUUUAGACAUGGCCUUUCUGAAGAUGAAUGAAAAAGGGUCGAGAUUAUAGCUAUGUUUUUGAAGCCAUUUUAUGACAUUACGGCGUUAUUUUCUGGAUGUAAAUGCCGAACGACUAAUUUGCAUCUUCCUAAUAUUUUUCAAAUCUUCAUCCUGAGGAGAUUGCUGAGGAAAAAGUGAAGGCUAUUGAAGAGAACUUACAAUUAUUGUUCAAAGAGUACUUGAUACCUUCGACUACAACCUCGUUAUAAGGGGGAUCAUGCUUGUAGUAAUGGUAGAAAUGAAAUGAGGGAUGCAUUUGAUGAGUUUGAGAGUCAGUUGGAGUCAAGCAACGGUAAAACACAACUAGAGUUGUAUUUGGAGAAAGCUAAUCUUGACCGUAUAACAAAUCCGAAUCUGGAUGUGGCUUUUGGAAGGAUAAUAGGCAAAGGUAUCUAGAACUCUCAUUAAUGGCACGAGAUAUCUUGAGUGUUUCAAUCACCACAGUAGCCUCUGAAUCUGCAUUUAGUAGGUGGUCAUUUUAUUGGAAAGUUUUGAACUUCUAUUCUUCCCGCAAAUGCCAAGGCAAAGCUAUGUACUAGGGAUUGGAUUUGUGGAAGAGAAGGUCUUAAUGAUGGAUCCGACUCUGAUGAAGAAGAUGAUAUUGUUGUUGAUCUUCAACCUUAUCUUGCGAAACUUAGAGUGGUGUAAACAAAAAACGAACUACAAUGUGAAAUCUUGACUAUACUACUCCCAUAUAAUAGAUGAGAACUUGCAGAUGAAGAGAAUGUAUGAGAGAACAUGCAGAUGAAGAGAAUUUGCAGAUGAAGAACUAGUCAAUCCCUUACUACUUGAAUUGCAGAUGAAGAAUUUAAGUGAACUUUGUAUAUUUUUUAUAUUUAAUCAUAGUACUUAGUUUUGUGAACUUUAUAUAUUAUUAACAAUUAAUCAUAGAAAAAUUUAAAGUCACAAGUUUUGAUACUGU